AGUUACUUUCUUGGCAAUUUCCAAGCCUUCAAGACCUUCAUUUUCAAUCAUUUUCAAGAUUUCAUUAUCAACUUCUACAUUUUCAUUCAUUUUAAAUUUUAAUUGUUCAUUAAUUAAGACUGUUAUUCUGAACGCAUAAGUGUUGCGAAAAGAAGCCUGUAACAUGCGCGGAGCGCUGUCAGAAAGACGACGAAAUUAUAAUAGAGUUGUCGCCGUUCCCCACCAGACGACACUAGCGUAAUAGGGAAGCCGUGAGAGGAAAAGUGGUGCACGCCUUGUGUGAUAUAUCGCACUUGUGCAGUCAGACAUGGGUUGGGACGAACUAUGGUGUGUUGGUGUUGUGUAUCGUUCCAUCAGUCAGAAGAGCAUCGUGUAUUUUAUCAUGAUUUUAUGGUUAAACUAAUUUUAUAGUUUUUACAUUGUAUAUAAAGAUUUUAACGGAUCUUACCUAUUUGAAACGCACAAUUAAAAGUACCCAGCUUUUUUAAAAUAGAUUUUGUAUCCUAAACUCAUUUGAGUUUCUGCUCCGUACUCUUUGAGAUGGGAAUCAAGAAAUGGGAAAGGGAUUUCUUUUUGCCUUGAAUUGUGGACUUCAAAUUAACUGCUCUGGGUGAAAAAGAGAUUUUCUUAGAACUUUUUAAAGAAAGUAAAGUGCUUCAUAUCUUGGAUUGCAUUUCAAUGUCCUCUGUGUAUUACUUCAGUACAGCCUGAUGGGUGAGAGCCUGAGAGGACAGGACAGUCUUACGGGUGCCUGAGCCUGAGAAUGGUCUCUUUUAAAACAAAGUUUUUGGUGAUUUUUUUAGAGUUUUUUAAAUGAUUUUUUGUUUCUAAACCUUCUUGUCCAGUUAAGCAUAUCCUCCUCUGGACCAAAUUAAAAUCUAUUUUUCUCAAAAUAUAAUAUUUUUAAAAUAUAAUGUAAGUACUGCCUUA
Long non-coding RNA from Daphnia pulex (common water flea), 930 nucleotides. RefSeq lists it as uncharacterized. The record is from RefSeq and is a predicted model, not a curated record. The transcript has 3 exons. NCBI's taxonomy places the organism in Eukaryota, Metazoa, Arthropoda, Branchiopoda, Diplostraca, Daphniidae.